GUUGGACAGAUGGGUCAGGUAAAUAGCAAUCCAAUCCAUUAAGCGCUCUCUCAUUUCUUUUCUUUGGAUGUGUAAUGCUGUAACCAAUACUAAAUGUGUUCUUGCUGUGAAGAGUACGGUCGAAUUCACAAACUUAUUUUAAAUGAGCAACCAUUCAUAGACAAGUUUAACUGAUAUUUUUUCAUUUCAUUGGGAUAACGUUUAGAGAACACACGAACUUCCAAGUGACAGAUUGGCGCAAAUUGUACCCAUAAUCUUUUUAUCAAAUUUUCAAUACAUACAUACAAAUUAUAAAUCCAUUAUUUUUUUAACAAAUUUUUAAACAUUUUUUUUAAAAUAAUUUUCAAUAUAUAUAUAUACAUAGCUGCAUGUUAUGUCAUAUUUCUCUCUUUAACCAAACUUUGCACACAAUAAGAAUUCUUCAAUAUAGAAGAGAGCAGAGGCAGAUAAUUGUUGAACUAAAAAUGCACUAGUAAUAUUGUUUUUCCCAAAUGUUGCUCAAACCAAAUUUUAGCCUACUAGAUGAUGCAGGUUGGUUGCUGAAACUUAUCCCACAUCCUCAAUUAGCAUAGGUGGCCCUGCGUGUUGGGGUCGAAAAAAGGAUAGGUUCAAGCUAAACUUCCCACAGGAAAGGAUGUUCCAUGUUUUCCAUCCAGACCAAAGCAGUUAACAGGCUAGCAGCAAAUACACAUUCCUCACACAAAAAAGCAAACGAUAAACGGCCGAAAAUAGCAGGAAACUUGAGAAAACUCCUCAAAAAAAAAAAAAAAAAAAAAAAAACCCGAUAAUGUUAGAAAGAAAGAAAGCCGUUAGGAAUAUUUUGAAAGUGAUUUAUGCAAUAUUUUAUCAUUUCAAAGUAAAAAGUCACUUAAGAAUUAAGAUUGUUGAAUAAUCAGAUCACUUAACAAAAUGCAACAAUUAGAUAACCACACAAUGUUUGGUAAUAUCUCGCAAUUAGAGGUCACAAAGUUACUACUAAGAGUUAACCCAAGCCAUCGUCUGAGUUUCCCCCAUUACAUGAAACGACCAUUAAAAAAGUUUCUCAUCUAGAAUAGAGAGAAGAGACUACUUGCAUUGUCCAACCAAAUCGGGAACAACCAUAAUGGUAAUAAUGUCAGCCAACCAAAAAAACAGGAAUGAUUUACCAUCACAAGUGACAACUUUUUUGUUGGCCAAGACAGAAAACAUCCACUGAUCAUAUAUCACAAAAAUUAUUGCCCACCUAAGCAGAAUACUAAUAAUCUGGUACAACCACCAGCCAUCUCUUCCUUCAUACUUUAUGAAGAGAAACAGCUAACUCACUCUCACCAUUCAAUUUUAACUACUAAUAUUAUGACACCACUCUCAUAUUUGGACUUUUUUUAUUGGGAGUUCCUAAAGUACUAAAUCUCACAAACAUUUAAUGUUUUUUUAUGGGUCUUGAAAGAAAAAAAGAAAACUCUACAAACAACAGAAUUUUUGUGUGUGUGUGUGUGUGUGGGUCAUGUCAUGUCAAUAGAAAUGCAAAAUGCAGCUGGAAAUUAAUACUUCAAAACUCUACCAGUAACUAAAAUCUCCAAGACCUAAAUUUUUUUAAGACUGACUACAAGAGCCAUUGAUUCUUCCGGUGCUUCCUGUUUCAACAUAUUAACAUAAUGUGAAAAAGAAGAAAGAACUUGUCUGGAAUCAAGGCUUACACUUAACUUACACUUCCCCACCCUUUGGAGAGAAAGCUGGCAACUGCUGAAACCUUGAAGACAACCAUUUAGAACAAUUUAUGGUACUUCCCACAUAGAUAGCAGUAAGUGCAACUUUAAAAACAUCAUAUUAUCAGAUACAUCAUAUUGAAAUAAAGAAAUAUUUCAUAAAAGUACCUAAGCAACUGAGCCCAGCCACCAUAGCGAAACUUUGCAAAACCAGCCCAGUAAAA
RNAcentral lists this long non-coding RNA (1909 nucleotides) under Carica papaya (papaya). Its description in RNAcentral is "long non-coding RNA (CPAP_LNC014372)". Lineage: Eukaryota; Viridiplantae; Streptophyta; Magnoliopsida; Brassicales; Caricaceae. The record is from RNAcentral.